This is a long non-coding RNA of Vicia villosa (hairy vetch), 3653 nucleotides long. RefSeq lists it as uncharacterized. The transcript has 6 exons. Lineage: Eukaryota; Viridiplantae; Streptophyta; Magnoliopsida; Fabales; Fabaceae. The record is from RefSeq and is a predicted model, not a curated record.
UGUUUACUAAUAUCCUUUGGUUUUUCCCUCCACCUUUGAUAACCCAUUCCCUUUUGCUUUUUCCUCGGCAGUCAUAUCUCUCUCUCUCACUUUCAUUUCUCCACCCCAUCUUCCGCCGUUCCUUCUCCACCCCAUCUUCCGCCGUUCCUUCUCCACCCUAGCUUUCUCGUCCGCGUUUCAUACUCCUUUUACCUGGGUUGCUGAGGGCAAGAAUCCACUUGUACCAUCUAAAGGAGAGUAGAUAUUGAAGUACAAGGAGCUUUAUCCAUUGGAUCAUUUACUACUGCUAAAAGCCAUUUGUGAAGUUAGAGCUGAUGUAUAGUGACCUCCUGGUAUGAUGCCAACACCAAAGCACAGAGUCACAGAUUUUACAGGGAAACAAUCACAUCAGUCUCAACUCCAAACCGUAAGGUCAAAGGCUGUUUAUCACUUCCCAACUUUCAAUGGGAAACACUUGCCUCCAAUCUUGAAGAUUUUCAGAAGUAGCUGAAAAAUUAUCAUCUACCAAGUCUCGUGUGGAAGUUUUUAUUGGCAAGAAGCUUCAAAGUGAAGCAGUUCCUGUUCUUGAGAAACUUCAAAGGGUAUAUACAUUCUAUUGAUUAAUAAAGGUAUUGUAGAUCAUCCUUUUACCUGGGUAACCAUUCCUUCACUCAUUUCAAAUUUUUUGUUAAAAAACUUUUUUCUCAAAUACCACAUUGCCUUCAACAUCCUUGGUUCUCUCUCAUCAGUUUUCAACAUCCUUUGUUCAGACCAAGUGUGGAGAACAACAUCCUUCGUUCGCUCUCAUCAGUUUCUUGUAGCUCCAACAUAUUGUUGAUUUCCGCCUUCACUUCAUCCAGCUCGAAGAUCUUCCGAUUUCAUCUCAAGUAAAUUCAUCUCUUAAAUCUUAAUGUUCAGACCAAGUGUGCAGAACAACAUCCUCCGUUCUUCAUUGUUUUAUUUUGUGUUCUUCUUUACUCUUCUCCUGGAUUUCGUUUCUGGUUUUCAUCCAAAUCGAUUUAUGUUUUGGUUUUUCCUGUGCUAUUUUUUAAUCGUCCAAAUUGUUACUGUUAUUAUUUUGUACUUUAUUACUCGUCCAAAUCGUUACUUUAACAGUUUCAGUUUUAGAGAGUCAACAUGAAAGUGAACAUGGUUAAUGUUAAGUGAUUUAUGUUGUUGACAACUCCAUUUCUUGAAUGUACUACUGUUUGCAUUUUCUGAGUGUUUUAUGUUGUUAACAACUUCCGUUUUAGAGAGUCAGCAUGAAAGUGAAAAUGGUUUAUGUUGAGUGUUUAUGUUGUUGACCUCCCCAUGGUUUGAAUGUUCUAAUGUUUGCAUUUGUUGAGGGUUUUAUGUUGUUAACAACUUUUGUUUUAGAAAGACAUCAUGAAAGUGAAAGUUAUUUAUUUUGAGUGUUUGAUGUUGUUAAAAAAUUCUAUUUUAGAGAGUCAGCAUGAAUGAGUCCAACUUUUUGAUGAUAAAUCUGUGUUGAUUUAAUAGGAAACUUUCUGCAAUACAAUUAGAAUGACUAAGAGGUUCAAGGUAAAUAAACUCGGCUGGUACUAUGAAGUUUGUCCAACUUGUAACAAGACUAACAAAUCACUGCUUUCCCUUUGAAUGCAAAUGCGUCAAUAUUUAAUCACAGUCUUCAAACAUAAAACUGAUUUAUGAACCAUUGGCAAUAUUAUAUUUCAACUUGCUUUCAACAUUCUUUGGCUUGAGUAUAUCAGAAACCAAAUGAAAUUUCAAUUGUUGUCUCAUAACUGAAUUCCAUUAUGCAUUUGUUCUUGCUAUCAAACCAUAUGACAUGUUCUUACUAUAUAUUUGCUGCACUACUUGUAACUUUUGCAUGAACUUUCAAUUUAUUGGCAAAACAAUCUCUAGACAACUAUGUAUUUCAUACCAUGUGCAUUUCCAAUUUCAGAACACUGCUUCUACUGCCAAGAACUAGAGCCCUGACUUCUAAUAAAUAACAAAAUUAACAUAUUGACGAGUUCGCGGUAUGUUAAUUGACACCUUUUAUAAAGGUUACUUCCAUUUAUCAAGAACAUACUAUAUCCAUGUUUGUCAUUAUACCUGUUCUAUAACAACUUAAUAAAAUAUAUACAAGUCAUUUGCAUCAAUAUUCAAUAUAAUUUGAAACAAUUGUCAUGUACUUUGAUUUCAUUGCUUAGGGCCAAGUCUUUUUCAUCAUUAUUAUCCUAUUACUAGCUUAUAAGUAUAAAAUAUCUUAUAUUCAUUUGGAUAUCACUGCUUCAAAAAAGCUUUGUGUGCAGGUUCUAAGUUAAACUUCUAAAAAUUGCUUGCUUCAACACUGACUGCUGAGCCACACCUAUCUGUAGCACUAAUAAAGCAAUGCCUCCAAUCUCUUAUAUGCAUUUGGAAGUGACUGAUUCAUAAAGCAACAUGUGCAAGUUCUAAUUUACAACACAAAAAGUAGAUUGCUUCCACAUAUACAGUUGCACAACUUAGAUCCGUACGAGUUGAGGUUCAGCAGGUCUCCAUCACCAACCUGUAACCUCGAUUGCCGUAAGUAUAUCCAAAUCAAGCUAUAAAGUUUUUGUGAGAUAUUGGAUCGAACUCUAGUAUUGUCGAAGGGUAGCUUCUUGGUUCGACAGUGUAAUACGGUGAACUGACUUUUUAAUAAUGUCGCGGUAAGCAAGAGUCGCCACCGACUUUUAUUUUAUCCAAUUUAAAGAAAGGCUAAAAGAACAGGAAAGACCUUUUGAAAGAUUUUGAGUUCGGGGGGUAAGUUAUACAAAGGGAAGGUGUAAGGCACCCUUUGCAUCCAUGGUUAUCCAUGGGCUCUUAAUUGCUUAGCUCACUUUGUUUGUUUGAUUUGUUUGAAAAGCGGUGUGCGAAUAGUAAAAGGUUUCGUUAAGGACUUUAGCUUAUAAAUAAGCGUAGCCUUGUUUGAAAUUAUUUUGAAAUAGGAGGUGUGAAAAGUAAACUUUGAAGAAGAACUUUAGCUUGUAAAUAAGCGUAGUCUUUUUGAAAAGUAUUUGAAAAUUAAUGGGAAAAUAGUUUGAUUUUGAAUUUUGAAUUUGAAUGGAGCAAGCAAUUACUAGCAACUUACCCUAAGUUUAAAAAUUUGUUCUUUUAGCUUUUCGAGGCGAAAGGAUCUAUCCAUGCCAUAAGAGGGCAGGAAGCCUUUCAAUUGGAUGUUUAAGGGUCAUCGAGUAAUCGUUCGCCAUAAGACUGUCCCAUGCCAUAAAGAGGGCAGGUAGUCUAAGGGAAGGAUAUAAUAGUCAUUAAUCUUUUUAGGCAUCAUGCGAGGAUACCUUAGCAAUUGGGACAAUCAUCAUAUAAGGCAACAUCGAGGGACAAACUUGAUGAUGAUAAUGAACUUAGGGCAACAUUUGUUUUGCUUUAGGUAUCCUCGGAAUCGAGGGACUUGACUAUUUAGUACACUUAGAGGCAGCAAGGCAACAGGCAACAGAAGAGGUUACCCUAAAGGUGAGUGUGUGCAGCAAUCACGUGGUUAACUUCGAUUACAUUUAUCUUGUAAUUAGGUGAUCUAUGUUCAGUUCAUGGUUUGCACUCCCUAAAUUACUAACCACGUAGUAAAUAUAAUAUAACAGUUUUAAGUGCCUUCAAGGCCAAACAAUACAACCAGGGAACAGUUACAUAAUAAUACGGGGAAGGGAACAAUGAAACCAGCGGAUCCCUUAAUA